AUGCAAGUCGAGCGAAGCUUUUCAGUAGUUUACUACAGAAAAUGACUGAGCGGCGAACGGGUGAGUAACGCGUGAGCAAUCUACCUUAGUUACAGGGAUAGCCCGAGGAAACUCGGAUUAAUACCUGAUAUUCUUUAAAUUUCGCAUGAAAUUAUAAGGAAAGGUCAGCCGAACUAAGAUGAGCUCGCGUUCUAUCAGCUAGUUGGUGAGGUAAAAGCUCACCAAGGCAACGACGGAUAGCUGGUCUGAGAGGACGAUCAGCCACACUGGGACUGAGACACGGCCCAGACUCCUACGGGAGGCUGCAGCAGGGAAUAUUGCGCAAUGAGCGAAAGCUUGACGCAGCGACACCGCGUGUGGGAUGACGGAUCUAGGUUUGUAAACCACUUUCAGGAGGGAAGAAAAUGACGGUACCUCCACAAGAAGCCCCGGCCAACUACGUGCCAGCAGCCGCGGUAAUACGUAGGGGGCGAGCGUUGUCCGGAUUUAUUGGGCGUAAAGAGCUCGUAGGCGGUUCAACAAGUCGGUCGUAAAAGUUCAGGGCUCAACCCUGAAAUGUCGAUCGAUACUGUUGUGACUAGGAUACGGUAGAGGUGAGUGGAAUUCCGAAGUGGUAGCGGUGAAAUGCGUAGAUAUUCGGAGGAACACCAUUUGCGAGGGCAGCCUCACUGGGCCCGCUAUCGACGCUGAGGAGCGAAAGCUAGGGGAGCAAACAGGAUUAGAAUACCCUGGUAGUCCUAGCUGUAAACGAUGGAUACUAGACGUAAGGAACUGGAUUGACGGUUUCCUGUGUCGUAGCCUACGCGUUAAGUAUCCCGCCUGGGG
Molecule: ribosomal RNA, 825 nt
Filed under: uncultured marine bacterium
Lineage: Bacteria
Description: bacterial SSU rRNA
Rfam family: Bacterial small subunit ribosomal RNA
Source: RNAcentral